This 519-nucleotide long non-coding RNA is filed under the name Olea europaea subsp. europaea. The record is from RNAcentral. Lineage: Eukaryota; Viridiplantae; Streptophyta; Magnoliopsida; Lamiales; Oleaceae.
AUACUCUCAAAAAGCUCAUUUUUAUACAUCCAUGGCCGGACUUCCGUACAAAUUCUUCCCCACUGAUUUCUUCUUUCCUCCUCAAAAGUUUGCUGGUGACAUCGUACGAAUCGGACGAGCCAAAACAGCCCAAAACAACCACCAUCAACACCAAAGCAAUUCCUUCCUCUGCCACAAGCUUGGUUCCUAUUAAGAAAUGAAAUUAAAUCAAGGUACAGUUUGAUGAACUAGUUAUUUGAUAAAGACUGUUAUACGGAAAAUUAAAUCUCAUGAUCAAUAAAUUUAGUAUCAAUUUGUUAGAUCGAGUCGUUCAAAGUGGGAUGAGCAUUUGAGGGGCCUAAUUAACUUUUUUAAAGGCUUCUCAAAUAAUAACAUCAAAGAUUGUUGUGCAAUGUAUCAAAUUACUUUAAGUGAUGUUGUUUACAGCAGUUAUGAAUUAUUGUUUAUGAUUUGGUCGGAUUAUUAUUUUCCAAGAAAUUAUGAGAGGCAAGUAGCCAAAAUUGGGUCACCAAAUUGAAU